RNAcentral lists this ribosomal RNA (540 nucleotides) under uncultured Geobacteraceae bacterium. RNAcentral describes it as "bacterial SSU rRNA". It matches the Rfam family "Bacterial small subunit ribosomal RNA", at positions 9 to 526 of the family's 1533-position model. Lineage: Bacteria; Pseudomonadati; Thermodesulfobacteriota; Desulfuromonadia; Geobacterales; Geobacteraceae. The record is from RNAcentral.
GAGUUUGAUCCUGGCUCAGAACGAACGCUGGCGGCGUGCCUAACACAUGCAAGUCGAACGUGAUCCAGAUCUUGCUCUGGUGAAAGUGGCGCACGGGUGAGUAACGCGUGGAUAACCUACCCUGGUAUCCGGGAUAACAUUCCGAAAGGGGUGCUAAUACCGGAUAAGCCCACGGGCUCUUUGGAGCUUGCGGGAAAAGGUGGCCUCUAUUUAUAAGCUACUGUAUCAGGAUGGGUCCGCGUACCAUUAGCUAGUUGGCGGUGUAACGGACCACCAAGGCGACGAUGGUUAGCUGGUCUGAGAGGAUGGUCAGCCACACUGGAACUGAGACACGGUCCAGACUCCUACGGGAGGCAGCAGUGGGGAAUUUUGCGCAAUGGGGGAAACCCUGACGCAGCAACGCCGCGUGAGUGAUGAAGGCCUUUGGGUCGUAAAGCUCUGUCAGAGGGGAAGAAAUGAUAUAGUGCUAAUACCACAUUAUCUUGACGGUACCCUCAAAGGAAGCACCGGCUAACUCCGUGCCAGCAGCCGCGGUAAUAC